CCUUUUGGUGGAAUCUUUUGGGUUUCAUAGGUGUAGAUCAUAUCCUCAGCAAAGAGGAGUAAUUUAAUUUUCUCAUUUUCUAUUUGGAUGCCUUUGUUUAAAAGUAGUUAAGAGACUUUAUUCUAAUAGCUAUGAUUACAGUGCUUGUUUGUCAAAAUGAAAACUGAAAACAAGUAUACAAAACUGUUAUUUACUAAUCAUGUAUUGAAAGCAGUAAGAGGUUCCACGACACCAAAUAGACCAGUUCUGAGGUUUCCCCAAGAUAAAUUUAAGAGCUCCAGCUUCUUCAGUGUUUAUCAAAAUACAAAAGAAAAAAGUAGAGGUUGUCUUUUCCGAUGGCAAAUCGGACCCUUGCAGGCUGACGGAGAGAACACCAAGUCACACACGGAGGUGGGGUGCUCCCGAGAGGCUGUGGGUCUAGGUGAACUGCCUGCCAGGCUUGCACGCUCUCCUGCUGGUGAGGCCCCAGACAUCCUGCCAAAGUGUCUGAGCGAGCACUAGUGCUGGGGAUGAUGGACCCACUCUGGCCACAUGAAGACCAAGGGACAGGUGGGGCCCUGCGUCCCAAAGGCUGCCUGAAGGUGGGUGAGGUGGCCUGAAGGUGGGUGAGGUGGCCUGCAGGAGAGUGGGGCAGCUGUGGGCUCCCAAUCUGGCCCCUGGGAACAGUGGGGGCACAGGGACAAGCACAUGGCUAUGGAAUGCAGGGUGACCCAAGGACAAGCGAGUUGCGGGGAUCUCUAUUGUGACCAUGCAGAAUUCUGAAAAUGAAUUCUGCCACACCACAGCCUCAUGUUCUAAAGGCAACAGACGGGCUGGCAACCGGCAUCCAGGCCAUAACUGCAAAUCUAUGGUAGGCAGGGUCUCCCUUCUGUGUGUUCAAGUGUUCUUGACUUGGAUUUUUAACUAUUUUUUAAAAUGCAUUGAGUUUGGGUUAAAAACCAACCACCAAAAUGGAUUUCAACACAGCUCUAAAGCCAAGAGCAUGUCCGGUUCGCCCAACACAGUGACUCCUGGAGGCCAGGUGCCCACGAGCCUACAUCCUCUCUCAGCACUCAACAGUUGUACAGGAAGCGUGAUGUCGACAUCUACUCAGCUUCUGGGGAGGCCUCAGGAAACUUACAGUCAUGCCAGAAGGCAGAGGGGGAGCAGGCACUUCACAUGGCAAGACCAGGAGCAAAGGAGAGAUGAGGGAGGUCCCACACACUUUUAA
RNAcentral lists this long non-coding RNA (1210 nucleotides) under Callithrix jacchus (white-tufted-ear marmoset). RNAcentral's name for it is "lncRNA (ENSCJAG00000085905.1)". The record is from RNAcentral. Lineage: Eukaryota; Metazoa; Chordata; Mammalia; Primates; Cebidae.